UCGACGGCAGCACGGGAGCAAUCCUGGUGGCGAGUGGCGAACGGGUGAGUAAUGUAUCGGAACGUACCUUUCAGUGGGGGAUAACGUAGCGAAAGUUACGCUAAUACCGCAUAUUCUGUGAGCAGGAAAGCAGGGGAUCGCAAGACCUUGCGCUGAUUGAGCGGCCGAUAUCAGAUUAGCUAGUUGGUGAGGUAAAGGCUCACCAAGGCGACGAUCUGUAGCGGGUCUGAGAGGAUGAUCCGCCACACUGGAACUGAGACACGGUCCAGACUCCUACGGGAGGCAGCAGUGGGGAAUUUUGGACAAUGGGCGCAAGCCUGAUCCAGCCAUGCCGCGUGAGUGAAGAAGGCCUUCGGGUUGUAAAGCUCUUUCAGCCGGGAAGAAAACGCAUGGGUUAAUACCCUGUGUGGAUGACGGUACCGGAAUAAGAAGCACCGGCUAACUACGUGCCAGCAGCCGCGGUAAUACGUAGGGUGCGAGCGUUAAUCGGAAUUACUGGGCGUAAAGCGUGCGCAGGCGGUUUGUUAAGAUAGGCGUGAAAUCCCCGGGCUCAACCUGGGAACUGCGUUUAUGACUGGCAGGCUAGAGUAUGGCAGAGGGGGGUGGAAUUCCACGUGUAGCAGUGAAAUGCGUAGAGAUGUGGAGGAACACCGAUGGCGAAGGCAGCCCCCUGGGCCAAUACUGACGCUCAUGCACGAAAGCGUGGGUAGCAAACAGGAUUAGAUACCCUGGUAGUCCACGCCCUAAACGAUGUCAACUAGGUGUUGGGUGGGUAAAACCAUUUAGUACCGG
This 792-nucleotide ribosomal RNA is filed under the name uncultured bacterium. RNAcentral describes it as "bacterial SSU rRNA". It matches the Rfam family "Bacterial small subunit ribosomal RNA", at positions 62 to 849 of the family's 1533-position model. The record is from RNAcentral.